This 490-nucleotide ribosomal RNA is filed under the name uncultured bacterium. RNAcentral describes it as "partial 16S ribosomal RNA". It matches the Rfam family "Bacterial small subunit ribosomal RNA", at positions 30 to 507 of the family's 1533-position model. The record is from RNAcentral.
AUUGAACGCUGGCGUCAGGCCUAACACAUGCAAGUCGAACGGUAACAGGAAGCAGCUUGCUGCUUCGCUGACGAGUGGCGGACGGGUGAGUAAUGUCUGGGAAGCUGCCUGAUGGAGGGGGAUAACUACUGGAAACGGUAGCUAAUACCGCAUAAUGUCGCAAGACCAAAGAGGGGGACCUUCGGGCCUCUUGCCAUCGGAUGUGCCCAGAUGGGAUUAGCUUGUUGGUGGGGUAACGGCUCACCAAGGCGACGAUCCCUAGCUGGUCUGAGAGGAUGACCAGCCACACUGGAACUGAGACACGGUCCAGACUCCUACGGGAGGCAGCAGUGGGGAAUAUUGCACAAUGGGCGCAAGCCUGAUGCAGCCAUGCCGCGUGUAUGAAGAAGGCCUUCGGGUUGUAAAGUACUUUCAGCGGGGAGGAAGGGAGUAAAGUUAAUACCUUUGCUCAUUGACGUUACCCGCAGAAGAAGCACCGGCUAACUCCGUG